RNAcentral lists this transfer RNA (77 nucleotides) under Sphingomonas sp. PsM26. RNAcentral describes it as "tRNA-Met". It matches the Rfam family "tRNA". Rfam says of the family: Transfer RNA (tRNA) molecules are approximately 80 nucleotides in length. Their secondary structure includes four short double-helical elements and three loops (D, anti-codon, and T loops). Further hydrogen bonds mediate the characteristic L-shaped molecular structure. tRNAs have two regions of fundamental functional importance: the anti-codon, which is responsible for specific mRNA codon recognition, and the 3' end, to which the tRNAs corresponding amino acid is attached (by aminoacyl-tRNA synthetases). tRNAs cope with the degeneracy of the genetic code in two manners: having more than one tRNA (with a specific anti-codon) for a particular amino acid; and 'wobble' base-pairing, i.e. permitting non-standard base-pairing at the 3rd anti-codon position. The record is from RNAcentral. Lineage: Bacteria; Pseudomonadati; Pseudomonadota; Alphaproteobacteria; Sphingomonadales; Sphingomonadaceae.
CGCGGGGUGGAGCAGCCCGGUAGCUCGUCAGGCUCAUAACCUGAAGGUCACAGGUUCAAAUACUGACCCCGCAACCA